CAUCGCCCAUCGCUCUUAUCGAUUGAAUGGUUCGAUGAAGUGUUCAGAUUGCGGCGACGUGGGUGGUUCGCUGCCCGCGACGUCACGAGAAGAUCACUGAACCUUAUCAUUUAGAGGAAAAAGAAGUCAUAACAAGGUUUCUGUAGGUGAACCUGCGGAAG
Molecule: non-coding RNA, 161 nt
Filed under: Cucumis melo (muskmelon)
Lineage: Eukaryota; Viridiplantae; Streptophyta; Magnoliopsida; Cucurbitales; Cucurbitaceae
Also listed under: 1 other name
Description: Eukaryotic small subunit ribosomal RNA
Rfam family: Eukaryotic small subunit ribosomal RNA
Source: Rfam by way of RNAcentral